CCUAUUCUUGAGCUAAGGAGAAAUGUCUGGAUUGCAAGCAAGAAAUUAGAGGGUCCAAAGCAUAUAUUUAGUAUUUUAAACAAUAAGAAUAUUAAAUAUUAAAUUUUAGCGGGGGAUGUAAAGUGAGAAAAGAAGACUUAAAAAUUCCUGCAAAACAGCCAUAGUUAGGGGUUAAUGAAUAAGAUGCAAUCAAAAUUUGAGAAGGAAAGAAGAAAAAAGGAGUUCUGUCCCACAAGCUUAGAGAGUAAGAGUUUAUUUUUACCAGCUUUAUUGAAAUAUAAUUGACAAAUUAAAACUUGUGUAUGUUUAAGGUAUACGAUGAUGGGUGGUUUGAUAUAAAUAUACAUUUUUAAAUGAUUCACAAUCAGAUGAAUACAUCAUUCUCCUCCCUCGGUUACUGUGUGUGUUUGCAUAUGUAUGAAUGUGGGGGAGAGGGUGAGAAUACUUAGUAUCUAUUCUGUUAAUAAAUUUCAAGUUUACCAUACAGUGUAUUCACUAUACUGUUAUUCAUUAUACUGUUCAUUAGGUCCUCAUCUUAUAACCAAAAGUUUGUACCCUUUAACCUACAUUUCCUCAUACCCAGUCCCUGGCAACCUCAGUUUGCUUUUUGUUUGGAAGGAAAAAGAGAAAAAUCAAUGCCAUCUGCCACAAAGAAGUCACAUAAGGACAGAAAAGACUAGUGAAUUUAUGGACUUAGAUUCUGAAUGAGCUUCAUUCUCUCCAGACUAAGUAGACUUUUUAAAAGUCCUUCAUUCAAAAAUUAAAACAUAUUCCCCUCAAAGAUUCACAUUCUCCUAAUGUUCCAAUAAAAUGAUCUGGUGUAAUGGGGAGAACAACGACUCACAUUUGA
RNAcentral lists this long non-coding RNA (850 nucleotides) under Marmota monax (woodchuck). The record is from RNAcentral. Lineage: Eukaryota; Metazoa; Chordata; Mammalia; Rodentia; Sciuridae.